This 71-nucleotide transfer RNA is filed under the name Alligator mississippiensis (American alligator). It matches the Rfam family "tRNA". Rfam says of the family: Transfer RNA (tRNA) molecules are approximately 80 nucleotides in length. Their secondary structure includes four short double-helical elements and three loops (D, anti-codon, and T loops). Further hydrogen bonds mediate the characteristic L-shaped molecular structure. tRNAs have two regions of fundamental functional importance: the anti-codon, which is responsible for specific mRNA codon recognition, and the 3' end, to which the tRNAs corresponding amino acid is attached (by aminoacyl-tRNA synthetases). tRNAs cope with the degeneracy of the genetic code in two manners: having more than one tRNA (with a specific anti-codon) for a particular amino acid; and 'wobble' base-pairing, i.e. permitting non-standard base-pairing at the 3rd anti-codon position. The record is from Rfam by way of RNAcentral. Lineage: Eukaryota; Metazoa; Chordata; Crocodylia; Alligatoridae.
GCAUUGGUGGUUCAAUGGCAGAAUGCUUGCUUACCAUGCAGGGGACCUGGUUUCACUUCCCAGCCAGUGCA